This 460-nucleotide ribosomal RNA is filed under the name uncultured bacterium. RNAcentral's name for it is "bacterial SSU rRNA". It matches the Rfam family "Bacterial small subunit ribosomal RNA", at positions 28 to 480 of the family's 1533-position model. The record is from RNAcentral.
GACGAACGCUGGCGGCGUGCUUAACACAUGCAAGUCGAGCGGUAAGGCCCUUUCGGGGGUACACGAGCGGCGAACGGGUGAGUAACACGUGGGUGACCUGCCCUCAGCUCUGGGAUAAGCCUGGGGAAACCGGGUCUAAUACCGGAUAUGACUCCAUGACGCAUGUUGUGGGGUGGAAAGCCUUGUGCGGCUGAGGAUGGGCCCGCGGCCUAUCAGCUUGUUGGUGGGGUGAUGGCCUACCAGGCGACGACGGGUAGCCGGCCUGAGAGGGCGACCGGCCACACUGGGACUGAGACACGGCCCAGGACUCCUACGGGAGGCAGCGAGUGGGGAAUCUUGCGCAAUGGGCGAAAGCCUGACGACGCAACGCCGCGUGGAGGACGAGAUCUUCGGGUCGUAAACUCCUGUCGAGUGGGAAGAAUGGAUCGGGGAUGAAUAAUCUCCGGUAUUGACGGUACCA